Molecule: long non-coding RNA, 2045 nt
Filed under: Ricinus communis (castor bean)
Lineage: Eukaryota; Viridiplantae; Streptophyta; Magnoliopsida; Malpighiales; Euphorbiaceae
Description: long non-coding RNA (RCOM_LNC000044)
Source: RNAcentral
ACUCAAGGUAUUGCUUGGGCUUUUGGUGGUAUGAUCUUUGCUCUUGUCUACUGCACUGCUGGCAUCUCAGGUAUUAAAAUUGCCUCCUUUUGUGGGUGUUUCGUGCUUUGCUUGCGUCUUUCAGUGUAAAGAUACCUUCUUUUUUCUUUUUUUCCUGUUAUUUUUCAUAUGGGUUUCAGUUUUAAUGGGUGUUUCUUGAUUUGCAUCAUAAAGUGUGAAUAACAAUCUUUUUUUUUCUUGUUUCUGGUCACUUUUCGUGUUGGUUUUGGUUUUUAUGCUUCUUCCUUGCUUAGAAUAUUAUUAGCAAGAACCACACUAACCAGAUCUACAUGUUUUUGGUAGGUGGACACAUCAACCCAGCAGUGACCUUUGGUCUCUUUCUUGCGAGGAAGCUCUCUCUGACAAGAGCUUUGUUCUAUAUGGUUAUGCAAUGUCUCGGUGCCAUCUGUGGUGCUGGCGUGGUGAAAGGUUUUGAGGGUGACCGUACGUAUGAAACCUUGGGUGGUGGAGCCAACGUUGUUAACGCUGGCUACACUAAGGGUGAUGGUCUUGGUGCUGAGAUUGUUGGUACCUUUGUUCUUGUUUACACCGUCUUCUCUGCUACUGAUGCUAAGAGGAAUGCCAGAGACUCCCAUGUCCCUGUAUGUAUUCUUUGCUUUACUCCUAUUUUGAGGUUCUUGACCUCAUUGUCUUCUUUGACUUGCAACUUUUGCUAUAUCUUCUGCUCUUAUAGACUUUAACAUCAUAUUCGUGUGUUAUAGCUAGAUUUUUGCAUAAAUUACCGGUGCUUGAGUUUAUAGAUUGCUCAUAAUUUAGCAUUUGGGCUCUAAGACCUUGUUUUCUGCUUGUGAUUUAGCAUUUUAGCAUUUCUUUUUGUAUUUCAUAUCCAUAAUUUUGCUGUUUAGAGAAAGAAUUUGGGUGAUAUUUUCUGGCAUGAUUUCUUUCUUUGGUUAUGUGGCUGUGUGGGUAAAGGCGACUCCCACCUUGAGUCCCUCGAUUGUCAUGAUUUGUGUUAAAAGUUCUUAGGUAGGUUUUGGUUAAACUUACAUGGGGUGAACCCAUGUGAUCCAUAAUUUUGCUGUUUAGAGAAAGAAUUUGGGUGAUAUUUUCUGGCAUGAUUUCUUUCUUUGGUUAUGUGGCUGUGUGGGUAAAGGCGACUCCCACCUUGAGUCCCUCGAUUGUCAUGAUUUGUGUUAAAAGUUCUUAGGUAGGUUUUGGUUAAACUUACAUGGGGUGAACCCAUGUGACUUGGUCCAUGAUGGAUCCGGUCCAGGCAAAGAAAAUCUACAGACCCAUGAGUCACGUGGUCUACUGAAGUCUUGUGCACUUGAUUAGGUAGAGAAUACCUUGAGUCCCUCGAUUGUCAUGAUUUGUGUUAAAAGUUCUUAGGUAGGUUUUGGUUAAACUUACAUGGGGUGAACCCAUGUGACUUGGUCCAUGAUGGAUCCGGUCCAGGCAAAGAAAAUCUACAGACCCAUGAGUCACGCGGUCUACUUAAGUCUUGUGCACUUGAUUAGGUAGAGAAUACCUUGAGUCCCUCGAUUGUCAUGAUUUGUGUUAAAAGUUCUUAGGUAGGUUUUGGUUAAACUUACAUGGGGUGAACCCAUGUGACUUGGUCCAUGAUGGAUCCGGUCCAGGCAAAGAAAAUCUACAGACCCAUGAGUCACGUGGUCUACUGAAGUCUUGUGCACUUGAUUAGGUAGAGAAUGAAUGAGUGUAUCAAGCUCAAAGUCAUUAAAUCUAUUUAUUUGUAUUAAAUUUUGUCAAAGGGUAAUGUCAUUGAUUGCAUCCAGUCAUGGAUCAUCUAUAUUGAGUGACAAAUAAUCUUGAGCUCAUCUGAUACAGAGGAUCCAUAAUGUGAAGGUUUUUCUUGCCUUUACCUUUGCUUCUCUCGCUCAAUCUUAGUUUCUGUCCAGAUCUCCGAUUUAAGUAAAAGGAAUUUUGUUGGUUCUACUCGAGCAUGUACGAAAUUUGGAAGCUAAGAUUUGUUUGCAAAACAUGGUAUUUUGCUCUAACUAAAAACUCUCCGAAACUGGUUGCAGAUU